AUCGCCAGUUCAAAAAGAGCAGUACUUGUAGGAAGCCAGGUCUGCAUCACAUGCUUCAUCAGUGCCUUGCCCAUCAAAUUUUUGUCUUCGAAUUUUAUGGUUAUUCCUCUACAACAUUGGCCACAACAUAUAUUUUUCGUUGUUAAUGCAAGUGUUGACAAUCUGCUUGAUUGGUUCACAGCAGAAUUGAACAAACUCGUGCUUGCAUGUAGGAGACCCAUAGUUCUUGUUGGUCCACUUCUUGGUGAUCGGGUCAUAUAAGUUUCUCGCCCCAAAGCCUUUUCAACUUCUUUGACUCAUCCACUCCGAACUUGGAGGCAUACAUCCUGGCAAAGUUAGUGAGAGUAAAAGUCCAACCAUGCAAUCCGGCCCUUUCUCGGGGCAAAC
This 387-nucleotide long non-coding RNA is filed under the name Nicotiana benthamiana. Its description in RNAcentral is "long non-coding RNA (NBEN_LNC018934)". The record is from RNAcentral. Lineage: Eukaryota; Viridiplantae; Streptophyta; Magnoliopsida; Solanales; Solanaceae.